AAACAACCUCGAAACUAACAAAAUCCUUGGUUAGGCAGUAGCCGGCCUAAACAUGGUCCUAAUGAAUGAUGCGACAAAGUAAAUAAAAGGGACAUAAAUAGAAGAAAAAUUCAACUCAUGGUCAUGUUCUUUUAUCCUUCAUUCACUUAACUAUAAUCCCCCGUGACAAGUAGGUGCACCAAACAUUGAUCCAACAAACCAAACAAAGAACCUAAUCAGAUAAAUGUUCGCACAUUUAAAGGAGAGGGCCAACUAGGGAAAACUAUGGCACAUCUACUAAGGACAGUGAAUAAAUCUAUCCAAAGAGCAUCGAAGUUUUCUAUCACCCCAUUUUUCUGUUAGUUCCUCAUCAGGCAAAAUACAGGCUAAGCAAGCUUAUAUUAAUUAAUCUUCCAAAUCAAUUGCAUGUGACCGAACAAGUCUAACAAAGCACUAGCAUAGAAUUAAUUACUAAACAUAGCAGGAAAAGACAAUCGAAUGAAAGCCAAAUAUUCACAGGACUAGCAUGGUAAAUGUCACAGUAAAAGAUAAUGAAGCUUUCAAACAGUCAUUCAUGUGCUUAAACAACCAGAAGGAAAAGAAAAUGCACCAAAACUUGCCGUUCGUCUACUAAAAUAUUUUUAGGAGUCAAGUAAGUUAGACACAAAAUGACCAUUUACAGAAAGCAUGGAAAAGAACCUCGGACAAAGCUAUAGAAGUGCUAGUCAAUCACUUUCACUGUUUUUUAAUCUUCACUAUCAAAAGUUUACUCCGAACAGAAAGAAUAUUUCAUUGGAACGAAUACUCCAAACAGUCAACACAAAUUCACAUGAUGGUAUUGCAGCAAUAUGUAACCCAAAUAAAACUAGCCAUGACUCAAACUUCAGAAAACUCAUCACAAAAAGCUGAAGAGGGAACAAUAAUAGGAAUAACACAUAUUACACUAAGAUGAACUAACAAACUCCAGCCAUCAUUAGUGUUUUAAUUCACACUCUUAGACAUAAGAAGAAAAGAGAAAGAGAUGAACCUGUUAAAGCUUUUCAAUUAAUCUCUCGGAAAAUUACAACAGUUAAAAUGAGCAACGACGACGAACUGCAACCGGAAGACUCGAACAGCAAUUCCACAAAUCGAACAUCCAACUCUGCUUCACUCCGUUUCGAAAAUCCGAAUCACAAAGAAGAGACCACAAUAUUUGUUUUCGUCAUUUUAAAAUUGAAUCAAAAUCAGAGAAUCAGGACCAAACCAUUAAACCUUUCCUAUUUUUUCUAAAAAAAAUCUCUAUUUCGAUUUUUCCUCCUCUCCAAGACUCCCUAUUUUCUGAUUAUUUUUUUUUUUGAUUUUUUUUUUUUUGACUCUUUGAAAUAAAAGAAAAAAACAGAAGCAAACCCAGAAAAAGGAAAAAUAGAUCUCUGAAAAUCAAACCCUCCUCUUUUCUCCAAUUUUCUCUGUCUCCUUUCAAUCUCUAUCCAGACCCAAAUAUAUAGCACCCUCCCGAAGCUUCUCUCCUUCCUCUGCAAGAAAUCGC
RNAcentral lists this long non-coding RNA (1504 nucleotides) under Nicotiana tabacum (common tobacco). RNAcentral describes it as "long non-coding RNA (NTAB_LNC012920)". The record is from RNAcentral. Lineage: Eukaryota; Viridiplantae; Streptophyta; Magnoliopsida; Solanales; Solanaceae.